AAUAGCAGCCCCUUUGAAGCAGUCUGCUUGCAAAAUCAAAAAGAGCCAUUUAGAAAAUGCUCUAUAAAACUUAAGUUUCAAAACCACUAUCUGGACAUUGUUGGCUGCCAUUUGGUGUUCCAAGAUUCUGAGUGUUACUUUCCAAUACUGUCCUGCAGUCAGUCCUACCUCUUCAGUGGCUGCUUCCUGCCAGAUGUAACCUGUGAUCAUGGAUACGUUGUUCAUGUAAUUUUUUUGAUGACUAGUAUUCUAUUGCAAGAGCAUAUCACAAUUUCUUUAUCCACUCUCUUGGAAUUUGGAGUUGUUUGUGGGUUUGGUUUAUUAUGAAUAAAGCUGCUCUAAACAUUCUA
This is a long non-coding RNA of Neofelis nebulosa (Clouded leopard), 350 nucleotides long. RefSeq lists it as uncharacterized. The transcript has 2 exons. The record is from RefSeq and is a predicted model, not a curated record. Lineage: Eukaryota; Metazoa; Chordata; Mammalia; Carnivora; Felidae.